CGAAGCCUGACGGAGCAAUACCGCGUGAGGGAAGAAGGCUUUUGGGUUGUAAACCUCUUUUGUCAGGGAAGAAGAAUUGACGGUACCUGAAGAAAAAGCAUCGGCUAACUCCGUGCCAGCAGCCGCGGUAAUACGGAGGAUGCAAGCGUUAUCCGGAAUCAUUGGGCGUAAAGGGUCCGCAGGUGGCGAAUAAAGUCUGCUGUUAAAGACCGGGGCUAAACUCCGGAAAGGCAGUGGAAACUGAUUAGCUAGAGUACGGUAGGGGUAGAGGGAAUUCCCAGUGUAGCGGUGAAAUGCGUAGAUAUUGGGAAGAACACCGGUGGCGAAAGCGCUCUACUAGGCCGAAACUGACACUGAGGGACGAAAGCUAGGGUAGCGAAAGGGAUUAGAUACCCCUGUAGUCUUAGCUGUAAACGAUGGAUACUAGGCGUAGCUUGUAUCGACCCGAGCUGUGCCGAAGCUAACGCGAUAAGUAUCCCGCCUGGGGAGUACGCACGCAAGUGUGAAACUCAAAGGAAUUGACGGGGGCCCGCACAAGCGGUGGAGUAUGUGGUUUAAUUCGAUGCAACGCGAAGAACCUUACCAGGGCUUGACAUGUCGCGAAUCUGGCGGAAACGUUAGAGUGCCUUAGGGAACGCGAACACAGGUGGUGCAUGGCUGUCGUCAGCUCGUGUCGUGAGAUGUUGGGUUAAGUCCCGCAACGAGCGCAACCCUCGUCCUUAGUUGCCAAUAUUAAGUUAGGCACUCUAGGGAGACUGCCGGGACAACUCGGAGGAAGGUGGGGAUGACGUCAAGUCAGCAUGCCCCUUACGUCCUGGGCGACACACGUACUACAAUGGUUGGGACAAAGGGCAGCAAGCUCGCGAGAGUAAGCGAACCUCAUCAAACCCAGCCACAGUUCAGAUUGCAGGCUGCAACUCGCCUGCAUGAAGUAGGAAUCGCUAGUAAUCGCAGGUCAGCAUACUGCGGUGAAUUCGUUCCCGGGCCUUGUACACACCGCCCGUCACACCAUGGAAGCUGGCUACGCCCGAAGUCGUUACCCUAACCCGGUUUUGGGAGGGGGAUGCCGAAGGUAGAGCUAGUGACUGGGGUGAAGUCGUAACAAGGUAGCCGUACCGGAAGGUGUGGCUGGAUCACCUCCUUUACAGGGAGACCUAGUCUAAUUACCAAUAGAUAAAAAAGUUGGUAAUUAGCAAGAAUCCUUAGGUCGUGAAGGGAGCAAGAAAAAACUUUCAAACUGUAAUAGGCGAGGGUAAAUGGGCUAUUAGCUCAGGUGGUUAGAGCGCACCCCUGAUAAGGGUGAGGUCCCUGGUCCAAGUCCAGGAUGGCCCACCUGAAAGACACAGGCAGGAUGCCUGUCCCACAAAAAAAGGAAAAAAUUUUAGCAUUGUCUCCUGUAAUCAAGAGCAAGAGACAAUGCUGGAAUAGAUUCCAGCAAGAACCUUGAAAACUGCAUAGAACUAGAAAGAAAAAGUCAGGUAAGAAAUCCUACAAGCUAGAGCUAGAAAGAGCAAAAGGU
This 1519-nucleotide unclassified non-coding RNA is filed under the name uncultured cyanobacterium. RNAcentral describes it as "partial contains 16S ribosomal RNA, 16S-23S ribosomal RNA intergenic spacer, and 23S ribosomal RNA". The stretch from base 1 to 1144 matches the Rfam family "Bacterial small subunit ribosomal RNA", at positions 377 to 1533 of the family's 1533-position model. The record is from RNAcentral. Lineage: Bacteria; Bacillati; Cyanobacteriota.